Molecule: ribosomal RNA, 301 nt
Filed under: uncultured bacterium
Lineage: Bacteria
Description: partial 16S ribosomal RNA
Rfam family: Bacterial small subunit ribosomal RNA
Source: RNAcentral
CAGUAGCCACGGUAAUACGUAGGUGGCAAGCGUUGUCCGGAAUUAUUGGGCGUAAAGGGCUCGCAGGCGGUUUCUUAAGUCUGAUGUGAAAGCCCCCGGCUCAACCGGGGAGGGUCAUUGGAAACUGGGAAACUUGAGUGCAGAAGAGGAGGGUGGAAUUCCACGUGUAGCGGUGAAAUGCGUAGAGAUGUGGAGGAACACCAGCGGCGAAGGCGACUCUCUGGUCUGUAACUGACGCUGAGGAGCGAAAGCGUGGGGAGCGAACAGGAUUAGAUACCCCAGUAGUCCCUGUCUCUUAUAU